UAAGUGCUUUUCUUUGGGGUUG
Molecule: microRNA, 22 nt
Filed under: Oryzias latipes (Japanese medaka)
Lineage: Eukaryota; Metazoa; Chordata; Actinopteri; Beloniformes; Adrianichthyidae
Description: ola-miR-430d (mir430d-2)
Source: RNAcentral